AUCCAUCUGACGAGUCCCAAAUAGGACGAAACGCGCGUUAUGGAU
RNAcentral lists this non-coding RNA (45 nucleotides) under Schistosoma mattheei. The record is from RNAcentral. Lineage: Eukaryota; Metazoa; Platyhelminthes; Trematoda; Strigeidida; Schistosomatidae.